UACGGGGGGGGCAAGCGUUGUUCGGAAUUACUGGGCGUAAAGGGUUCGUAGGUGGCUUGUUAAGUCAGACGUGAAAUCCCUCGGCUCAACCGGGGAACUGCGUCUGAGACUGAUGAGCUCGAGUGCAGGAGAGGAACGCGGAAUUCCAGGUGUAGCGGUGAAAUGCGUAGAUAUCUGGAGGAACACCGGUGGCGAAGGCGGCAUCCUGGACCAAUACUGACGCUGAGGAGCGAAAGCCAGGGGAGCAAACGGG
This 253-nucleotide ribosomal RNA is filed under the name uncultured bacterium. RNAcentral's name for it is "partial 16S ribosomal RNA". It matches the Rfam family "Bacterial small subunit ribosomal RNA", at positions 524 to 776 of the family's 1533-position model. The record is from RNAcentral.